UAGGGAAUCUUCGGCAAUGGGGGCAACCCUGACCGAGCAACGCCGCGUGAGUGAAGAAGGUUUUCGGAUCGUAAAGCUCUGUUGUAAGAGAAGAACGUGUGUGAGAGUGGAAAGUUCACACAGUGACGGUAACUUACCAGAAAGGGACGGCUAACUACGUGCCAGCAGCCGCGGUAAUACGUAGGUCCCGAGCGUUGUCCGGAUUUAUUGGGCGUAAAGCGAGCGCAGGCGGUUUAAUAAGUCUGAAGUUAAAGGCAGUGGCUUAACCAUUGUUCGCUUUGGAAACUGUUAAACUUGAGUGCAGAAGGGGAGAGUGGAAUUCCAUGUGUAGCGGUGAAAUGCGUAGAUAUAUGGAGGAACACCGAUGGCGAAAGCGGCUCUCUGGUCUGCAACUGACGCUGAGGCUCGAAAGCGUGGGGAGCAAACAGG
RNAcentral lists this ribosomal RNA (429 nucleotides) under bacterium. Its description in RNAcentral is "partial 16S ribosomal RNA". It matches the Rfam family "Bacterial small subunit ribosomal RNA", at positions 355 to 776 of the family's 1533-position model. The record is from RNAcentral.